UGAGCAACCUGCCCCUGGCUCUGGGAUAACCCUGGGAAACCGGAGCUAAUACCGGACACGAGACCGAUUGGCAUCUUUACGGUCUGGAAAGUUUUUCGGCCAGGGAUGGGCUCGCGGCCUAUCAGCUUGUUGGUGGGGUAACGGCCCACCAAGGCGACGACGGGUAGCCGGCCUGAGAGGGCGACCGGCCACACUGGGACUGAGACACGGCCCAGACUCCUACGGGAGGCA
Molecule: ribosomal RNA, 231 nt
Filed under: uncultured bacterium
Lineage: Bacteria
Description: partial 16S ribosomal RNA
Rfam family: Bacterial small subunit ribosomal RNA
Source: RNAcentral